GACGAACGCUGGCGGCGUGCUUAACACAUGCAAGUCGAACGGUGAAGCGCCUUCCUUUUUGGUGGGUGUGGAUGAGUGGCGAACGGGUGAGUAACACGUGAGUAACCUGCCCCCUUCUUCUGGAUAACCGCAUGAAAGUGUGGCUAAUACGGGAUAUUCUGGGUCUGUCGCAUGAUGGGUCUGGGAAAGAUAUUGUUUCGGUGGGGGAUGGGCUCGCGGCCUAUCAGCUUGUUGGUGGGGUGAUGGCCUACCAAGGCGGUGACGGGUAGCCGGCCUGAGAGGGUGGACGGCCACACUGGGACUGAGACACGGCGCAGACUCCUACGGGAGGCAGCAGGGGGGAAUAUUGCACAAUGGGCGCAAGCCUGAUGCAGCGACGCCGCGGGAGGGAUGGAGGCCUGCGGGUUGUGAACCUCUUUCGCCAGUGAAGCAGGCCUGCCUCGUUUGUGGGUGGGUUGACGGUAGCUGGAGAAGAAGCGCCGGCUAACUACGUG
Molecule: ribosomal RNA, 494 nt
Filed under: uncultured bacterium
Lineage: Bacteria
Description: partial 16S ribosomal RNA
Rfam family: Bacterial small subunit ribosomal RNA
Source: RNAcentral